RNAcentral lists this ribosomal RNA (468 nucleotides) under uncultured bacterium. RNAcentral's name for it is "partial 16S ribosomal RNA". It matches the Rfam family "Bacterial small subunit ribosomal RNA", at positions 28 to 507 of the family's 1533-position model. The record is from RNAcentral.
GACGAACGCUGGCGGCGUGCUUAACACAUGCAAGUCAAACGGAAAGGCCCUGCUUUUGUGGGGUGCUCGAGUGGCGAACGGGUGAGUAACACGUGAGUAACCUGCCCUUGACUUUGGGAUAACUUCAGGAAACUGGGGCUAAUACCGGAUAGGAGCUCCUGCUGCAUGGUGGGGGUUGGAAAGUUUCGGCGGUUGGGGAUGGACUCGCGGCUUAUCAGCUUGUUUGUUGGGUAGUGGCUUACCAAGGCUUUGACGGGUAGCCGGCCUGAGAGGGUGACCGGCGACAUUGGGACUGAGAUACGGCCCAGACUCCUACGGGAGGCAGCAGUGGGGAAUAUUGCACAAUGGGCGGAAGCCUGAUGCAGCAACGCCGCGUGCGGGAUGACGGCCUUCGGGUUGUAAACCGCUUUCGCCUGUGACGAAGCGUGAGUGACGGUAAUGGGUAAAGAAGCACCGGCUAACUACGUG